This 448-nucleotide ribosomal RNA is filed under the name uncultured bacterium. RNAcentral describes it as "bacterial SSU rRNA". It matches the Rfam family "Bacterial small subunit ribosomal RNA", at positions 329 to 793 of the family's 1533-position model. The record is from RNAcentral.
CGCCAGACUCCUACGGGAGGCAGCAGUGGGGAAUAUUGCACAAUGGGGGAAACCCUGAUGCAGCGACGCCGCGUGAGUGAAGAAGUAUUUCGGUAUGUAAAGCUCUAUCAGCAGGGAAGAAAAUGACGGUACCUGAUUAAGAAGCCCCGGCUAACUACGUGCCAGCAGCCGCGGUAAUACGUAGGGGGCAAGCGUUAUCCGGAUUUACUGGGUGUAAAGGGAGCGUAGACGGUGAUGCAAGUCAGAAGUGAAAGCCCGGGGCUCAACUCCGGGACUGCUUUUGAAACUGUGUGACUGGAGUGCAGGAGAGGUAAGCGGAAUUCCUGGUGUAGCGGUGAAAUGCGUAGAUAUCAGGAGGAACACCAGUGGCGAAGGCGGCUUACUGGACUGUAACUGACGUUGAGGCGCGAAAGCGUGGGGAGCAAACAGGAUUAGAUACCCCUGUAAA